GUAGUAAAUUUAGCCUAUUUUACCUUAAUAAUUAAUAACACUUUAAAACUAAAUAAUAAAACAUUUUAUCAUUUUAAUAUAGGAGAUAGAAAAAUUCAUUAGCGCAAUAUAAAUAGUACUGUAAAGGAAAAAUGAAAUAGAAGUUAAAUAAAUCAUAAAAACAAUAAAAAGCAAAGAUUUAACCUUUUACCUUUUGCAUCAUGGUCUAGUAAGUUUAACCUAACGCAAAGAACUUAAGUUAGACACCCCGAAACUAAACGAGCUACUACGAAGCAGCAGCACGAGCCAACCCUUCUCUGUGGCAAAAGAGUGGGACGACUUCCUAGUAGUGGUGAUAAGCCUAACGAGUUUAGUAAUAGCUGGUUACUUAAUAAAUGAACUUAAAUUCAACUUAAAAUAUCUUUUAACAAAUAAAGUAAAAAAUAAUAUUUUAAAGUUAAUUAAUAGAGGUUCAGCUCUAUUAAUAAAGGAUACAACCUAAAAUAAUGAAUAAUGAUUAUACUAAUUAAAGAAAUUAAUUAUGUGGGCCUAAAAGCAGCAAUCAAUUAUAAAAGCGUUAAAGCUUAAUUUAAUAAAUCUUAUUAUAACAAUAAAUAAUCUUAAUUCAUCACAACUAUUAAGUUAAUCUAUAUAAAUAGAUGAAAUUAUACUAGAAUGAGUAAUAAGAAAAUAUUCUCUUAGUGCAAGUGUAAAUCAGAACGAAUAUUUCUCUGAUAAUUAACGAACCUAUUGAGGGAACAAUAUUAUUUUUACAAGAAAAAUCUAUUUUAUCCAUCGUUAACCCAACACAGGAGCACAUUAGAAAGAUUAAAAAUAUAGGAAGGAACUCGGCAAACACGAACUUCGCCUGUUUACCAAAAACAUCGCCUCUUGCAAUUAAGGUAUAAGAGGUCCUGCCUGCCCAGUGACACCAAGUUUAACGGCCGCGGUAUUAUGACCGUGCAAAGGUAGCGUAAUCACUUGUCUUCUAAAUAAAGACCAGUAUGAAUGGCAAGACGAAAGUUCAACUGUCUCCCUAAAUUAAUCAUUGAAAUUGAUUUCUCCGUGCAGAAGCGGAAAUAUAAAUAUAAGACGAGAAGACCCUAUGGAGCUUUAA
RNAcentral lists this ribosomal RNA (1096 nucleotides) under Hynobius nebulosus (clouded salamander). RNAcentral's name for it is "partial 16S ribosomal RNA". The stretch from base 169 to 1036 matches the Rfam family "Bacterial large subunit ribosomal RNA", at positions 568 to 2044 of the family's 2925-position model. The record is from RNAcentral. Lineage: Eukaryota; Metazoa; Chordata; Amphibia; Caudata; Hynobiidae.